Molecule: ribosomal RNA, 2906 nt
Filed under: Klebsiella michiganensis
Lineage: Bacteria; Pseudomonadati; Pseudomonadota; Gammaproteobacteria; Enterobacterales; Enterobacteriaceae
Description: 23S ribosomal RNA
Rfam family: Bacterial large subunit ribosomal RNA
Source: RNAcentral
GGUUAAGCGACUAAGCGUACACGGUGGAUGCCCUGGCAGUCAGAGGCGAUGAAGGACGUGCUAAUCUGCGAAAAGCGUCGGUAAGGUGAUAUGAACCGUUACAGCCGGCGAUGUCCGAAUGGGGAAACCCAGUGCAAUUCGUUGCACUAUCGUUUGAUGAAUACAUAGUCAAACGAGGCGAACCGGGGGAACUGAAACAUCUAAGUACCCCGAGGAAAAGAAAUCAACCGAGAUUCCCCCAGUAGCGGCGAGCGAACGGGGAGCAGCCCGGAGUCUGAAUCAGCUUGUGUGUUAGUGGAAGCGUCUGGAAAGUCGCAGGGUACAGGGUGAUACUCCCGUACACUAAAACGCACAGGUUGUGAACUCGAAGAGUAGGGCGGGACACGUGGUAUCCUGUCUGAAUAUGGGGGGACCAUCCUCCAAGGCUAAAUACUCCUGACUGACCGAUAGUGAACCAGUACCGUGAGGGAAAGGCGAAAAGAACCCCGGCGAGGGGAGUGAAAAAGAACCUGAAACCGUGUACGUACAAGCAGUAGGAGCCCACUAGUUGGGUGACUGCGUACCUUUUGUAUAAUGGGUCAGCGACUUAUAUUCUGUAGCAAGGUUAACCGUAUAGGGGAGCCGCAGGGAAACCGAGUCUUAACUGGGCGUUAAGUUGCAGGGUAUAGACCCGAAACCCGGUGAUCUAGCCAUGGGCAGGUUGAAGGUUGGGUAACACUAACUGGAGGACCGAACCGACUAAUGUUGAAAAAUUAGCGGAUGACUUGUGGCUGGGGGUGAAAGGCCAAUCAAACCGGGAGAUAGCUGGUUCUCCCCGAAAGCUAUUUAGGUAGCGCCUCGUGAAUUCAUCUUCGGGGGUAGAGCACUGUUUCGGCUAGGGGGUCAUCCCGACUUACCAACCCGAUGCAAACUACGAAUACCGAAGAAUGUUAUCACGGGAGACACACGGCGGGUGCUAACGUCCGUCGUGAAGAGGGAAACAACCCAGACCGCCAGCUAAGGUCCCAAAGUCAUGGUUAAGUGGGAAACGAUGUGGGAAGGCCCAGACAGCCAGGAUGUUGGCUUAGAAGCAGCCAUCAUUUAAAGAAAGCGUAAUAGCUCACUGGUCGAGUCGGCCUGCGCGGAAGAUGUAACGGGGCUAAACCAUGCACCGAAGCUGCGGCAGCGACACUAUGUGUUGUUGGGUAGGGGAGCGUUCUGUAAGCCGUUGAAGGUGGCCUGUGAGGGUUGCUGGAGGUAUCAGAAGUGCGAAUGCUGACAUAAGUAACGAUAAUGCGGGUGAAAAACCCGCACGCCGGAAGACCAAGGGUUCCUGUCCAACGUUAAUCGGGGCAGGGUGAGUCGACCCCUAAGGCGAGGCCGAAAGGCGUAGUCGAUGGGAAACAGGUUAAUAUUCCUGUACUCGGUGUUACUGCGAAGGGGGGACGGAGAAGGCUAUGUUGGCCGGGCGACGGUUGUCCCGGUUUAAGCAUGUAGGCGGAUGUUCCAGGUAAAUCCGGAACGUUACUAACGCUGAGGUGUGAUGACGAGGCACUACGGUGCUGAAGUGACAAAUGCCCUGCUUCCAGGAAAAGCCUCUAAGCAUCAGGUAACAUCAAAUCGUACCCCAAACCGACACAGGUGGUCAGGUAGAGAAUACCAAGGCGCUUGAGAGAACUCGGGUGAAGGAACUAGGCAAAAUGGUGCCGUAACUUCGGGAGAAGGCACGCUGAUGGUAAGUGAAGUGACUUGCUCAUGGAGCUGAAAUCAGUCGAAGAUACCAGCUGGCUGCAACUGUUUAUUAAAAACACAGCACUGUGCAAACACGAAAGUGGACGUAUACGGUGUGACGCCUGCCCGGUGCCGGAAGGUUAAUUGAUGGGGUUAUCCGUAAGGAGAAGCUCUUGAUCGAAGCCCCGGUAAACGGCGGCCGUAACUAUAACGGUCCUAAGGUAGCGAAAUUCCUUGUCGGGUAAGUUCCGACCUGCACGAAUGGCGUAAUGAUGGCCAGGCUGUCUCCACCCGAGACUCAGUGAAAUUGAACUCGCUGUGAAGAUGCAGUGUACCCGCGGCAAGACGGAAAGACCCCGUGAACCUUUACUAUAGCUUGACACUGAACACUGGUCCUUGAUGUGUAGGAUAGGUGGGAGGCUUUGAAGUGUGGACGCCAGUCUGCAUGGAGCCAUCCUUGAAAUACCACCCUUUAAUGGCUGGUGUUCUAACGUGGGCCCCUAAUCGGGGUUGCGGACAGUGUCUGGUGGGUAGUUUGACUGGGGCGGUCUCCUCCUAAAGAGUAACGGAGGAGCACGAAGGUCAGCUAAUCCUGGUCGGACAUCAGGAGGUUAGUGCAAUGGCAUAAGCUGGCUUGACUGCGAGCGUGACGGCGCGAGCAGGUGCGAAAGCAGGUCAUAGUGAUCCGGUGGUUCUGAAUGGAAGGGCCAUCGCUCAACGGAUAAAAGGUACUCCGGGGAUAACAGGCUGAUACCGCCCAAGAGUUCAUAUCGACGGCGGUGUUUGGCACCUCGAUGUCGGCUCAUCACAUCCUGGGGCUGAAGUAGGUCCCAAGGGUAUGGCUGUUCGCCAUUUAAAGUGGUACGCGAGCUGGGUUUAGAACGUCGUGAGACAGUUCGGUCCCUAUCUGCCGUGGGCGCUGGAGAAUUGAGGGGGGCUGCUCCUAGUACGAGAGGACCGGAGUGGACGCAUCACUGGUGUUCGGGUUGUCAUGCCAAUGGCAUUGCCCGGUAGCUAAAUGCGGAAGAGAUAAGUGCUGAAAGCAUCUAAGCACGAAACUUGCCCCGAGAUGAGUUCUCCCUGACCCUUUAAGGGUCCUGAAGGAACGUUGAAGACGACGACGUUGAUAGGCCGGGUGUGUAAGCGCAGCGAUGCGUUGAGCUAACCGGUACUAAUGAACCGUGAGGCUUAACCUU